Molecule: ribosomal RNA, 501 nt
Filed under: uncultured bacterium
Lineage: Bacteria
Description: partial 16S ribosomal RNA
Rfam family: Bacterial small subunit ribosomal RNA
Source: RNAcentral
GACGAACGCUGGCGGCGUGCUUAACACAUGCAAGUCGAACGGUUAAGCACCUUCCUUUUGGUGGGUGUGGAUGAGUGGCGAACGGGUGAGUAACACGUGAGUAACCUGCCCCCUUCUUCUGGAUAACCGCAUGAAAGUGUGGCUAAUACGGGAUAUUCUGUGCCUGCUGCAUGGUGGGUGUGGGAAAGAUGCGCUUUUGGGUGUUUUUGGUGGGGGAUGGGCUCGCGGCCUAUCAGCUUGUUGGUGGGGUGAUGGCCUACCAAGGCGGUGACGGGUAGCCGGCCUGAGAGGGUGGACGGUCACACUGGGACUGAGACACGGCCCAGACUCCUACGGGAGGCAGCAGUGGGGAAUAUUGCACAAUGGGCGCAAGCCUGAUGCAGCGACGCCGCGUGAGGGAUGGAGGCCUUCGGGUUGUAAACCUCUUUCGCCAGUGAAGCAGGCCUGUCCCUUGUGGGUGGGUUGACGGUAGCUGGAUAAGAAGCGCCGGCUAACUACGUG